Molecule: long non-coding RNA, 351 nt
Filed under: Brassica napus (rape)
Lineage: Eukaryota; Viridiplantae; Streptophyta; Magnoliopsida; Brassicales; Brassicaceae
Description: long non-coding RNA (BNAP_LNC020335)
Source: RNAcentral
UAGGACAUGUUUUAGGAUUUUGAAUUUGGGGGCACAAUUAUUAUAUUUGAUGUUUUAAUAUUUGUUAUUAGUGUUAGAUUAACGUUUUACAUAUUAUUUAUUGUAUUAUCUUUUAAUGUUUAUGAUUAAAUAUUAGAAAUUUGGAGUUUAGGGUAUGAGUAUGGUUUACAUUUUCCACAAAAUAGCCACAAACCAUAUCGUGUCUAUAUGUAUUUCUAUGAUUAUUUUCGUGGCUGAUAGUAGAUGUUGAUUUCCACAAUAUUUUAUGUGGCUAAUUGUGACUUAUUUUCUUCGAAUAGCUACAAAAUGUAAUUUGCAGCUAAUUAGCAACAUAUAUCUACAGAAUAGCUA